RNAcentral lists this unclassified non-coding RNA (223 nucleotides) under plant metagenome. RNAcentral's name for it is "partial contains small subunit ribosomal RNA, internal transcribed spacer 1, and 5.8S ribosomal RNA". The record is from RNAcentral.
UUUCCGUAGGUGAACCUGCGGAAGGAUCAUUACAGUGUUCUCUGCCCUCACGGGUAGAAACGCCCACCCUUGUAUAUUAUAUCUUUGUUGCUUUGGCAGGCCGCCCUCGGGCACCGGCUCCGGCUGGAUCGCGCCUGCCAGAGGAAACCCAAACUCUGAAUGUUAGUGUCAUCUGAGUACUAUCUAAUAGUUAAAACUUUCAACAACGGAUCUCUUGGUUCUG